UACGUAGGGUGCGAGCGUUAAUCGGAAUUACUGGGCGUAAAGCGUGCGCAGGCGGUUUUGUAAGCCAGAUGUGAAAUCCCCGGGCUUAACCUGGGAAUGGCAUUUGGGACUGCAAGGCUGGAGUGCGGCAGAGGAGACUGGAAUUCCUGGUGUAGCAGUGAAAUGCGUAGAUAUCAGGAGGAAUACCGAUGGCGAAGGCAGGUCUCUGGGCUGACCCUGACGCUCAUGCACGAAAGCGUGGGGAGCAAACAGG
Molecule: ribosomal RNA, 253 nt
Filed under: uncultured bacterium
Lineage: Bacteria
Description: partial 16S ribosomal RNA
Rfam family: Bacterial small subunit ribosomal RNA
Source: RNAcentral